AGUGUAUAGCUCAGAAGUGGCCACAGGCAUCUGGGGAAUCAGGAGAAGGAGUUGAACUUGCACUUUGGAGGAGGAGUCAAGAGGAUUGUGGAAAAAUAAGGAAAGAAGCACCACAAAGCCUAAGCUACAGGAAAUUAGAGAAAAAAGGAAAUAACUGAAAAGAUUUGAUGUGGAGUGAAAGAGGUCAGGAAAAUGGAGGAGACUGAAG
Long non-coding RNA from Fukomys damarensis (Damara mole-rat), 208 nucleotides. RefSeq lists it as uncharacterized. NCBI's taxonomy places the organism in Eukaryota, Metazoa, Chordata, Mammalia, Rodentia, Bathyergidae. The record is from RefSeq and is a predicted model, not a curated record. The transcript is spliced from 3 exons.